This 501-nucleotide unclassified non-coding RNA is filed under the name Malassezia pachydermatis. RNAcentral's name for it is "partial miscellaneous RNA". The record is from RNAcentral. Lineage: Eukaryota; Fungi; Basidiomycota; Malasseziomycetes; Malasseziales; Malasseziaceae.
GAUGACAGACCCUUGGAAAAUAAAACAAAUAGAUAGACCCCCCCAUCCAUCUAGAUACCUCGACACCCCGUCACCCCACCGUCACCCCUUUCACAGUACCAGCAUAGUACUCACAUAGCACUACCACAUCUGUCAGCACACAUUCUCGCCAAGUACGCAUGCACAGCGACCGGGAUCGAUCCGAUUCGCUCCUCUUCCAGCCAGGCUCCACACGAUUCGUGUGCAUACAAAAAGCACCAGCACAGCCUCGUUCCUCGUGCAGUGAGUGGGUGUGGGUGUGUCCCCUCCCACCCUAGUUGCAUGGCACAGCAUACCAACAUGCCUUUGCACCACCACCUUGCAACACGAGAGAGACCAUACAGCAUAUAACACACAGCACAGCACAGCAUAACCUAACACACAACACAACACAAUACAGCACAGCAUAACACAACACAACAACCCAACACAACACAACUCGGACCCACUCCACACUGAUCCACACAGUACAUGCAUGAACGG